CAAUAUAAUAGAAAUGUCAAAGGCAAGAGUUAGUAGACUGAAGAUAGAUCAAUAGAAAUUAUCCAACCUGAGCAACUGAGAGAAAAGAAUACUGAAAAAAACAAACAAACAAACAAACAAAAAAACAUGAAUAGAGUCUCAGGGACCUGUGUGAUAAUCACAAAAUGUGUAAUAUUUAUAUCAGUGGAGUCUCGGAAAGAGAAGAGAAAAUGAAGUGCAUUUUCCAAAAAACGUUAGAAAAUAAAUGGCUGAAAAGUUUAAGUUUUGUGAAAGACAUAAACUUGCAUAUUCCAGAAGCUAAGGAAACUCCAAACAGAAAAAGACAAACAAAUAAACAACUCCCCCACCCACAAAAAACCCAAGCCCAGAUACAUAAUAAUGAAACUGCUGAAAACUAAAGACAAAGUAUUAAAAACAGCCAAAGAAAAAAAUAGCACAUGACUUAUGGGGAGCAAUGUUUCAGCUGACUGUAGAUCUGUCAUAAGAAGCCAUGAAGACAGAACAAAGUGGUGUGACGUUUUAAAAGUCACUAUAAAUUUCUCAUGAAAAACUAUGAAGCCAGAAAGAAGUGGCAUGACAUUUUUUAAGUGCUGAAAGCAAAGGAAUAUUAACCCACAACUCUAUAUUCAGGAAAAUAUGCAUGACAAAUGAAGGAGAAAUAAAGAUAUUCUCAGAAGAAGGAAAACUAAGAGAAUUCUUAACCAGCAGACCUCCUUGAGAAGAACUUCUAAACAUUUCUUCUAAACAGACAGAAGGGCUCUAACCCGAGCUUCAAGCCCCAUUUGUAUGCAGCUGUCCAUGGGUGUCAGUAGUUGUUUGACUUAGCAGAGCCGAGAGCCCCGGGUUGGGAGUGGAGAGAAAAAAGGGAAGAGCUGCAUUCCAGUCAACAUGCUCCUGGAAGGACCUGACCUCUCCCGCUCACUUUUUAAAAAGGCUCCAUAGUCAAGGAAAGCUUUCUUGGAAGAAAUCUACAGCUGGGUUGCUGUUGACACUCUUUGUAUCAGAAGAAAGCCAUCCACGAUGGUCAGAGAAGCACAUCACAGCACCGAUUGCCAAAUUGCUUUGGCACAUGCAUGUGUGUGGGCGGGGACUGUGGCUGUGUCUUGGACACUGCCCAGCACUCAGUGGGCACUUAUUAAAUAUGGAAUAACAAGAAGUAUUUUAGAGGGAAAUGGCUGUCUGACACAAACAAGACAGCAAUUUUUUCACAUGUCAC
This 1216-nucleotide long non-coding RNA is filed under the name Homo sapiens (human). Its description in RNAcentral is "HSALNT0332838". The record is from RNAcentral. Lineage: Eukaryota; Metazoa; Chordata; Mammalia; Primates; Hominidae.